AUGAGGGAGAUCCUGCACAUCCAGGGCGGGCAGUGCGGGAACCAGAUCGGGUCCAAGUUCUGGGAGGUGGUGUGCGACGAGCACGGCAUCGACCCCACGGGGAGGUACGUCGGCACCUCCGACCUGCAGCUGGAGCGCGUCAACGUCUACUACAACGAGGCCUCGUGCGGCCGCUUCGUGCCGCGCGCCGUGCUCAUGGAUCUCGAGCCCGGCACCAUGGACUCCGUGCGCACGGGGCCCUACGGCCAGAUCUUCCGCCCCGACAACUUCGUCUUCGGCCAGUCCGGCGCCGGCAACAACUGGGCCAAGGGUCACUACACCGAGGGCGCGGAGCUCAUCGACUCCGUCCUCGACGUCGUCCGCAAGGAGGCCGAGAACUGCGACUGCCUCCAAGGCUUCCAGGUGUGCCACUCCCUCGGCGGGGGCACCGGUUCCGGCAUGGGCACGCUGCUGAUUUCCAAGAUCAGGGAGGAGUACCCGGACCGGAUGAUGCUCACCUUCUCCGUGUUCCCAUCCCCCAAGGUGUCUGACACCGUGGUCGAGCCCUACAACGCCACCCUCUCGGUUCACCAGCUGGUGGAGAACGCCGACGAGUGCAUGGUGCUGGACAACGAGGCGCUCUACGACAUCUGCUUCCGCACCCUCAAGCUGACCACACCUAGCUUUGGUGACCUGAACCACUUGAUCAGUGCCACCAUGAGCGGUGUCACCUGCUGCCUUCGCUUCCCAGGACAGCUGAACUCAGACCUCCGCAAGCUCGCCGUCAACCUGAUCCCCUUCCCGCGCCUCCACUUCUUCAUGGUGGGCUUUGCGCCGCUCACAUCUCGUGGGUCACAGAUGUACCGCUCCCUCACUGUCCCUGAGCUCACACAGCAGAUGUGGGACUCGAAGAACAUGAUGUGUGCUGCUGACCCGCGCCAUGGCCGCUACCUCACAGCCUCGGCCAUGUUCCGUGGCAAGAUGAGCACCAAGGAGGUUGACGAGCAGAUGAUCAACGUGCAGAACAAGAACUCCUCCUACUUCGUGGAGUGGAUCCCGAACAACGUCAAGUCAAGCGUGUGUGACAUCCCACCACGCGGCCUCUCCAUGGCGUCCACCUUCAUUGGCAACUCCACCUCCAUCCAGGAGAUGUUCAGGCGUGUGAGCGAGCAGUUCACGGCCAUGUUCAGGAGGAAGGCUUUCUUGCAUUGGUACACUGGCGAGGGGAUGGACGAGAUGGAGUUCACUGAGGCCGAGAGCAACAUGAACGACCUUGUCUCCGAGUACCAGCAGUACCAGGACGCCACUGCCGACGAGGAGGGCGAGUACGAGGAAGAGGAAGAGCUGGAGCAGGAGUAA
RNAcentral lists this ribosomal RNA (1338 nucleotides) under Triticum aestivum (bread wheat). RNAcentral's name for it is "partial small subunit ribosomal RNA". The record is from RNAcentral. Lineage: Eukaryota; Viridiplantae; Streptophyta; Magnoliopsida; Poales; Poaceae.